RNAcentral lists this ribosomal RNA (484 nucleotides) under uncultured bacterium. RNAcentral's name for it is "partial 16S ribosomal RNA". It matches the Rfam family "Bacterial small subunit ribosomal RNA", at positions 29 to 507 of the family's 1533-position model. The record is from RNAcentral.
AUUGAACGCUGGCGGCAUGCUUUACACAUGCAAGUCGAACGGCAGCGCGGGCUUCGGCCUGGCGGCGAGUGGCGAACGGGUGAGUAAUACAUCGGAACGUGCCCAGUAGUGGGGGAUAGCUCGGCGAAAGCCGGAUUAAUACCGCAUACGACCUGAGGGUGAAAGCGGGGGAUCUUCGGACCUCGCGCUAUUGGAGCGGCCGAUGGCAGAUUAGCUAGUUGGUGGGGUAAAGGCCUACCAAGGCGACGAUCUGUAGCUGGUCUGAGAGGACGACCAGCCACACUGGGACUGAGACACGGCCCAGACUCCUACGGGAGGCAGCAGUGGGGAAUUUUGGACAAUGGGCGAAAGUCUGAUCCAGCAAUGCCGCGUGUGUGAUGAAGGCCUUCGGGUUGUAAAGCACUUUUGGCGGGAACGAAAAGGACUGUGCCAAUACCACGGUUCGAUGACGGUACCCGCAGAAUAAGCACCGGCUAACUACGUG